This is a long non-coding RNA of Panicum virgatum (switchgrass), 2104 nucleotides long. RefSeq lists it as uncharacterized. The transcript is spliced from 3 exons. NCBI's taxonomy places the organism in Eukaryota, Viridiplantae, Streptophyta, Magnoliopsida, Poales, Poaceae. The record is from RefSeq and is a predicted model, not a curated record.
UCCUUUUUGCCUUUUCUCCCUUCAUCGUUUCGUACUUCUGCCAUUUUCAAAUAUAUUUAAAAUGACAUUUAAACGUUCGUUUAAAUGUUUAAACGCCAAAAUUUUCCCUCCAUCGUUUCAACGUUUCAUCGUGUUAAUAACCUUGGACGGCCGGCGGCGCUCGGCAUGGAGAGGGAGAGGAACCGGCUGGAGGAAGGAGAAGGGGCUGACGGGUGGGGCCCGUCUGGAAGUAAGAGGGAGAGAGGGUGGAGGUGGGAGGCUGGAUUGGGCCGGUGUUGGGCCGACUGGGCCUUGCGGGAAAGAAAGGGAAGAGGGGGAGGGAAGGAGGUGGAUUGGGCUGGAAGAAGAGAGAAAGUUUUGUUUUUUUAACUCAAACACUAUUUGAAUAAAUUCAUUUUAAAUUUAAACCAAAGUUGAAAUUUUGGGUGUUACAUUUAUUUUACUUAAUGAUGUGUAAAAGGUUGAGCAGUUGUAGCAUGCUAUUUAGAAGGGCAUAUAAUGCCAUUUCGAUCCACUUUUCAUUAGACCUGGUGCCUCUGUGCAUAAUGGUUGUGGAUUUAUGUUGUGAAAUGGAGGGUGUAGCUAAUUAAUUCAGGAAAAUUAUGUCCUAUUCCUGCACAUCCGUGUCUCUUGGAAGACCAGGGAAACUGUAUAUAUUCUCUGUAUAGUAAAAUGGUACUGUUAUUACUCUGUAUCUGGUACCAUAAAAUUGUUUGUAUCUAACACACUACAAUGUCCAUGUGUACAUACGAUGACUAGUAAGAUAUAGUUUAGGGUGUUAAAAAUUGAUAACUGCUGGCACCUUAUUGGUACCUUCAUUGCUGGCUCUCCCAACUGUCCAAUUGUUCAUUGCAAUUGACCACAAGUUCUGUCUUUUGUUCAUCUGUGGGCAUAGGACUGGACGCCUUUAUCAGCUCACGAGAAACAAGCGACAUCAGUGGUCGAAGUAUUCCGGAUUGUGGAGGAGACUGUUGAUCAGUUCUUUAAUGCAAGUCUACCUCUGGAUAUUGUCCACUUGCGAAGUCUACUUAUAGGAAUCACUAGCAGUCUUCAAGUCUAUUUGCUUCACAUGGAAAAUCAACAAGUUUCUGGAUCUACCCUACUUCCUAGUGCCCCAGUCUUGACACGUUAUUCAGAAUCGAUGAACCCAUUUGCAAAAAGAAAACUUAUUGAACCUACAGUUCCUGAAGAAAAGGUGGCUACUAAAUUGAAUAAUUUGACGGUGCCUAAAUUAUGUGUGAAGUUCAACACCCUUCAAGUGAGUUUUGAAUUGACCAUCCAUUCCCCAUGCGUUUCCGUAUGCCUUAUAAUGAAUAUUAUUUUGGUAGAAUUCGAAUCACCAAAACACGUGCUAAGAGUUCAGGACAUGGGCCUGGAAAACCUUUCAUAGAAGUCUGUUAUGCUCAGCUUUUGCUAUUUAGCUAAUUCCGCUAUAUCUAUACUGGUACUUGACAUUCAUCGAGUUGCUUUUAUAUCUGCACAUAAAUGAUUUAGGUUUUAUUUUACUAAAAAACUGCAAAUGGGGUAAGUUGAUUGCUCGAGUUUUCUUAUGAAAAAACAGGCAAAUUAUCAAUGAAACCAUUUAGGAGUGUGAAUGACCAUGGGAAUAUACUUAUGUGGUUGCAGCUUAAUGUUCGAAAAAUGUUCGGCUAAAUCAUGUCCUUUAAAUAGACAUGGCUGUUUGAAAAGUGAAAACCAUGAGUGUUAGAGUAUAUUAGGGAUAUCUCUAUAUUAGGUAAAUUAGGAUUAUAUCCGUAUCCUACCAUAUAUGUAGGAGAGGCUUCUUGCCCUCCAAGUCAUGUACCCCUAUAUAUUCAGCCCCAAGGCUCAGGCUAAUACAAUCAUCAAUUACACCAGUCCUAUUAUUCUAUAUGGUAUCACGAGUUUGAGUUCUAACCCUAGACCUGAAACCCUAGCUUUCCGUUGCUCACGCCGCUAGCGCCCCUCCUCUCCCAUCGCCGGCGCUCCUGACCCCCAACGACACGCCUCCAGCGCACCCCCACGACAGCCUCCUAGCGCGCUCCCGGGAAGGUCGCCCAUUAUUGGAGAGAAUAAUUGCCUUGUAUUCCUCCAAACCCUAGAAGGGUGGGAUAUAUAGAUCCUA